This 1188-nucleotide long non-coding RNA is filed under the name Linum usitatissimum (flax). RNAcentral describes it as "long non-coding RNA (LUSI_LNC004411)". Lineage: Eukaryota; Viridiplantae; Streptophyta; Magnoliopsida; Malpighiales; Linaceae. The record is from RNAcentral.
GCGGAGGUUGGGCAUUUCAGCGACGGCGAGAGGCAAGUCACCGGUCAUAUUGUUGUUGUAGAUGUCGAGUACCUCGAGGUUCUUGAGCUGGGCUAGCUGCGAGGGGAAAGUAUCAUUAAACCCAUUGUUGGAGAGAUUGAGGUAGCGGAGGUCGGUGGCGGCGGAGAGCUGCGGCGGGAUGGGGCCAGAGAAUUUGUUGACGUCGAGGGAGAGGUUCUGGAGGUAGCGGAGGUGGGAGAUAUCCGGGGAGAGGGUUCCCGUGAGGGAGAGGCUAGAGAGGUCUAAUGAGGUCACGUGACGGCUGGAGAAGUCGCACGUGACUCCCGGCCAGGAGCAGAGGUCGGCGGAGGAGUUCCAGGCGGAAAGGAAGGAGUUUGGGUCGUCGGUGACGGCGGAUUUUAGGGAGAGUAGAGCUUGGGUUUCGGAUAAUACGCGGCCGGUGGAAGUUGGGAUGUGGAGGUGGAUGAGGAGGAAGAAGAAGAGGAGAGGGUAAAGGAGUCUCAUCGUAGAUUGAGAAGAACACCUCACACUGCCCGUCCGGCGGGGGGAUCUCCCCGCCGAAGAAGUUCCCUCCGAGGUGGAGGUGGCGGAGGUUGGGCAUUUCAGCGACGGCGAGAGGCAAGUCACCGGUCAUAUUGUUGUUGUAGAUGUCGAGUACCUCGAGGUUCUUGAGCUGGGCUAGCUGCGAGGGGAAAGUAUCAUUAAACCCAUUGUUGGAGAGAUUGAGGUAGCGGAGGUCGGUGGCGGCGGAGAGCUGCGGCGGGAUGGGGCCAGAGAAUUUGUUGACGUCGAGGGAGAGGUUCUGGAGGUAGCGGAGGUGGGAGAUAUCCGGGGAGAGGGUUCCCGUGAGGGAGAGGCUAGAGAGGUCUAAUGAGGUCACGUGACGGCUGGAGAAGUCGCACGUGACUCCCGGCCAGGAGCAGAGGUCGGCGGAGGAGUUCCAGGCGGAAAGGAAGGAGUUUGGGUCGUCGGUGACGGCGGAUUUUAGGGAGAGUAGAGCUUGGGUUUCGGAUAAUACGCGGCCGGUGGAAGUUGGGAUGUGGAGGUGGAUGAGGAGGAAGAAGAAGAGGAGAGGGUAAAGGAGUCUCAUCGUAGAUUGAGAAGAACUAAUCGCCGCCGGAGACGGCGGAGGGAGGAGGAGGAGGAGGAGGAAGAGGAUGAUGAAGAAGGUAAGUGAGAAGAGUGAGG